This is a non-coding RNA of Pelobates cultripes (western spadefoot toad), 123 nucleotides long. NCBI's taxonomy places the organism in Eukaryota, Metazoa, Chordata, Amphibia, Anura, Pelobatidae. The record is from the annotation of a GenBank genome assembly.
GGUCCCUAACCCAGUCCUCAUGGGCCACCAAAAGUCCAGGAUUUAUAUAUUUCCCUUUUUUAUUCAAAUGGCAUACUAACAAAACAUGGACUAUUGUUGGCCCAUGAGGACUGGGUUGGGGAC